UUUCCGUAGGUGAACCUGCGGAAGGAUCAUUAAAAAAUUGGACUCUACGAGAGUCUAUUAAUAAUCCUCACCCUUUGUGAAUUUGUUUGUUUGAAAUAAUUUUUUUAAAAAUUAUUGAAUGUCUUUCCCUAGGUUUCGUUGGCUGUAUGAGCAAGCAUCAGGGGAUGGCAAACAAUAAUCAUUUUAAAAGACCUUUUUUUUAAAUUAAACUUUUUGUAUUCAUUUGUCUAAAAUUAUUUUUAUAAUAUAAAAACAACUUUGACAAUGGAUCUCUUGGUUCUCGCAACGAUGAAGAACGCAGCAAAAUGCGAUAAGUAGUGUGAAUUGCAGAAUACGUGAAUCAUCAAAUCUUCGAACGCAUAUUGCACUUUUUUAGUUUACUAAAAAAGUAUGUCUGUUUGAGUAUCAGUAAAAUAUUCUCAUAAAAAAUUUAUUUUUUAUGGUUAUGAGUGUUUUACAACGAUAACAAGUUGUUUCACUUUAAAUUCUUUGUUAUCAAAAAAAAUCAUUAAACUAAUUUUAAAGAUUUUUUUUUAAAAUUGGAUAAAAUUUUCCCGUAAAAAGGAAUAACCUAAACAAUUUUAGAAAAUUAAAAUUAGGUGAUUUUUUCUGAAUUAAAAAGGAAAAGUUAAAUUAACUUGAUCUCAAAUCAGAUAAGAGUACCGCUGAACUUAGCAUAUCAAUAAGCGGAGGAAAAGAACUAACUAGGAUUCCUUAGUAACGGCGAGUGAAGCGGGAAGAGCUCAAAUUGAAAUCUUCAAGGUUCUACCUUGACGAAUUGUAGUUUAAAGAAGUGUUUCUGUUGGAGUUUUGGUAAAAGUUCUUUGGAAAGGACAUCAUAGGAGGGUGAGAAUCCCGUAUUUGACCAUUUCUUCCAGCUGUGUGAUACACUUUCAAAGAGUCGGAUUGUUUGGGAAUGCAGUCCAAAAUGGGUGGUAAAUUUCAUCUAAAGCUAAAUAUUGGCGAGAGACCGAUAGCGAACAAGUACCGUGAGGGAAAGAUGAAAAGAACUUUGAAAAGAGAGUUAAACAGUACGUGAAAUUGUCAAAAGGGAAGCGUUUGACACCAGUGUUGUUUUCUCGAAAAUCAAUUAAAAAUGGCGGGAUUUUGUGUUGUAUUGACUUUAUCAGCUUCUCUGCACAUUUUUUUCUGUCUUUUUUAAUGCACUUUUCGUUUAACAAGUCAACAUCAAUUUCUUUUGUUGUAAAAAGAGUCAUUGGAAGGUGGCUUUCCUUUCGGAGAAAGUGUUUAUAGCCUUUGACUUCUGCAAUCGGAGAGAUUGAGGUCUGCAGCGUAGAUCCUUCGGGGUUAGAUACAUUUGUGCUAAGUUAUAAGCCUUUCAUAGACAACUUGUUGACUAUAUCAGUCAUGUAGCUUACUCGCUUAUGUCAUUUUACCUACGCUUAGGAUGUUG
This 1414-nucleotide unclassified non-coding RNA is filed under the name uncultured Neocallimastigales. RNAcentral describes it as "partial contains small subunit ribosomal RNA, internal transcribed spacer 1, 5.8S ribosomal RNA, internal transcribed spacer 2, and large subunit ribosomal RNA". The stretch from base 640 to 1414 matches the Rfam family "Eukaryotic large subunit ribosomal RNA", at positions 1 to 628 of the family's 3401-position model. Lineage: Eukaryota; Fungi; Neocallimastigomycota; Neocallimastigomycetes; Neocallimastigales. The record is from RNAcentral.